GCUGGGCAUAGUGGUGCGUGCCUGUAGUCCCAGCUACUUGGGAGGCUGAGGCAGGAGAAUCGCUUGAACCCGGGAGGCGGAGGCUGCAGUGAGCUGAGAUCAUGCCCCACUGCACUGCAGCCUGGGUGACAGAGUGAGACUCUGUCUCAA
This 150-nucleotide non-coding RNA is filed under the name Gorilla gorilla gorilla (western lowland gorilla). The record is from Rfam by way of RNAcentral. Lineage: Eukaryota; Metazoa; Chordata; Mammalia; Primates; Hominidae.